Molecule: long non-coding RNA, 1026 nt
Filed under: Heterocephalus glaber (naked mole-rat)
Lineage: Eukaryota; Metazoa; Chordata; Mammalia; Rodentia; Bathyergidae
Description: lncRNA (ENSHGLG00000041851.1)
Source: RNAcentral
GCAAUGAAGUUUGGAGGAGCUGACAGAAGGGAUGAGAAGCUUCUGUUUAUGGAGAUACUUCUGUUUAUGCCACUGAAGUAGCAAGCAAGGCUGGCCUAAUCAGUUAAUUAUUUCAGGAGUGAGGCAAAACAGCAAUGAAAAACAGGUUGCAGAGCUAGAAAUGAGAGAAACCAUCUACUGGCUAAAAUGAUCAGAUUUGAAUGGAGCAAGACAGAGACUCUAUAUAACUCAGGCUGGGCUCUAACUUACAGUCCUCCUGCCUCGACCUGCCAAAUAAUGGAAUACAGCUUUUGAGGAAUCUCCAUCCUGAUUUCCAUAGCAGUUGUACUAGUUUACAUUCCUAACAACAGCAUUGGAAGUUCUCCUCAAGUUGCCCAAGCCGGCCUGGAACUCACAAUUCUCCUGCCUCAGGCUCCUGGUGCUAGGAUUACAGCCACGCACCACCAUGCCCAGCUGUUUACAGAUUUUUGCUCUGGCUUGCUUGCACUUGCCUUCUGGUAUACACUGGAGCAAGGUUUUCUCCAAGGUGCAUGCCCAAGGAUGGACUUACCAUGUUGUAGAGUGGGUACAUCAUCAGAUUUACCAGGUGAUGCCAAAAUGUUUCUCCAAGUGCUCUACUCAUCCUGUCCUUUUCUCCACCAGCAGAGCAUAAGUAGAGCUUCUAUUGUUCCACAUCAUCAGAAAGACUUGAUACACUUGGACUUUAAAAGUGUUGCCUACCUGAUGGCGUGAAGUGAGAGUUCACUUAGAUUCCAGUUGCAUUGCCUUCCUUCCCAGUGGGCUGAGCGUCUUUCCCACCGUUUACUGGCUAUCUGGGGUUGCUCUUCCAUGAAGUGCCUGUUGGUACCUCUCCCUUUUAAAGUCUUUUGUUAAGCUAACACUUUUUAUUGAAAUUAUUUGUGCUAAAAUUUAUCUGUUUUCUUUACAUUUUAAUGUAACAUUUAAAUUUUAAUAUACCCUUUAAUCCAACAGUGAACAUAGCAUGAUGUUAAUUUAUCAUUUGAAAUAUACAUAUAAAUUUAAUGU